This 214-nucleotide ribosomal RNA is filed under the name uncultured bacterium. Its description in RNAcentral is "partial 16S ribosomal RNA". It matches the Rfam family "Bacterial small subunit ribosomal RNA", at positions 524 to 737 of the family's 1533-position model. The record is from RNAcentral.
UACGGAGGGGGUUAGCGUUGUUCGGAAUUACUGGGCGUAAAGCGUACGUAGGCGGAUCAGAAAGUUGGGGGUGAAAUCCCGGGGCUCAACCCCGGAACUGCCUCCGAAAACUCCUGGUCUUGAGUUCGAGAGAGGUGAGUGGAAUUCCGAGUGUAGAGGUGAAAUUCGUAGAUAUUCGGAGGAACACCAGUGGCGAAGGCGGCUACUCGCGUGC